Molecule: unclassified non-coding RNA, 229 nt
Filed under: Hevea brasiliensis (rubber tree)
Lineage: Eukaryota; Viridiplantae; Streptophyta; Magnoliopsida; Malpighiales; Euphorbiaceae
Source: RNAcentral
UGCCUUCUGCGAUGUUGAGCAAAGAGUGGCUUCCUCCUAUACUUGACAACACAAGAAGGUUUGUAGAAGCUAAAGGUAUUAUAGUAAAUACGUUCUUAGAGCUGGAAUCACAUGCGAUUGAAUCAUUGAAAUGCCUCCUGUUUACCCUGUUGGACCCAUUUUGGAUGUGGGGUUGGAUGAAAGAAACACUCACCAAGAAAUCAUACAAUGGCUUGACGAUCAGCCGCCA